UGGACCUUCCAAAUAGAGCUAGUCCA
Molecule: non-coding RNA, 26 nt
Filed under: Homo sapiens (human)
Lineage: Eukaryota; Metazoa; Chordata; Mammalia; Primates; Hominidae
Source: RNAcentral